Sarcophilus harrisii (Tasmanian devil) is the source of this 394-nucleotide long non-coding RNA. RefSeq lists it as uncharacterized. The record is from RefSeq and is a predicted model, not a curated record. Lineage: Eukaryota; Metazoa; Chordata; Mammalia; Dasyuromorphia; Dasyuridae. The transcript is spliced from 4 exons.
AGAUAAAAAACAAAGUAAGAUGCUACAAAAAUGGCAGAGGACUCAUCUCAGUCUGUUACCGGAAAGAGGGAGAAUGAUAUUUGUUCAGGAAAAGAGAAACUAAAAUUGGAUAACAGGGACUUGAAGGAAUAAUUAAGGAGACAAUAAGAGAGCACCCAGCUGGUCUGGAUGAAUUCUAGUUGACUGGUUUAAACUGUAAUCCUUCAAGGAAGUCUACUUUGUGAUCCAUAUGCCACUAACUAAACCUUGCAAGCUUCAAGACAGAAGACUCAUAGUUCCAGAUUCUCUUCAACUCCCUGAAGGAAGAGCAAGAAUCUGAGAAGAAACUAAGAUAUAAAGGAGCUUAAGCAAGCACCUCAAUUGGUUCCUAUUCCCAGAUCUCUAUUCUAGAGAC